ACGGAAGGGCACCACCAGGAGUGGAGCCUGCGGCUUAAUUUGACUCAACACGGGAAACCUCACCCGGCCCGGACACCGCGAGGAUUGACAGAUUGAGAGCUCUUUCUCGAUUCGGUGGGUGGUGGUGCAUGGCCGUUCUUAGUUGGUGGAGCGAUUUGUCUGGUUAAUUCCGAUAACGAACGAGACUCUAGCCGGUUAAGUAGCCCGGAGCGGUUUUUGAUCUUUGCCGUCCGUCCUCCGUCCUACCUUUUUUUUCCCGUCCUCGGCCGACCGGCCACGGAGGGAAAAGGGAAAGGCGAGGAGGUGGUCAUCCGUGGUGGUUUUUCUGUUCCGUGCACGUUCGCCUUUACCGGCGGGCGUCGUGCGGGCGGUACCCUCGGGGAAACCGUCGCUUCGUUUCCUCCCUGACCUUUCGCCCGCGAGGUCGAGACGGAAAGGGUGGUCGAGGCGGAAGCAUAACCGAAGGCCGCCGGCUUUUACAGGAAGCUUCUUAGAGGGACGAGCGGCGUUCAGCCGCCCGAGAUUGA
RNAcentral lists this ribosomal RNA (527 nucleotides) under Kumbadjena kaata. RNAcentral's name for it is "bacterial SSU rRNA". It matches the Rfam family "Eukaryotic small subunit ribosomal RNA", at positions 1156 to 1449 of the family's 1831-position model. The record is from RNAcentral. Lineage: Eukaryota; Metazoa; Onychophora; Udeonychophora; Euonychophora; Peripatopsidae.